CUCUAUCGAUAUCCACUCAGGCAGGACCUAGAAUAUCUUCUUCUCACAAAUCUACACUCCAAAAAUUAGAUCUCUAUCUGAUCUGAAAGUGCUUCAGAACUCCUUCUGAAGUUGGAGCAACAGCCUGUCGAAGAUGUCCUGCAACCUUCUGUUCCAGGCGUCACCACGCCUUGGACCUUUGCCAGAUGGAUGUCCAACUCCUUGGAUGUGAAGAGGGGAGAG
RNAcentral lists this long non-coding RNA (222 nucleotides) under Elaeis guineensis (African oil palm). Its description in RNAcentral is "long non-coding RNA (EGUI_LNC057888)". The record is from RNAcentral. Lineage: Eukaryota; Viridiplantae; Streptophyta; Magnoliopsida; Arecales; Arecaceae.